Molecule: ribosomal RNA, 439 nt
Filed under: uncultured bacterium
Lineage: Bacteria
Description: partial 16S ribosomal RNA
Rfam family: Bacterial small subunit ribosomal RNA
Source: RNAcentral
CUACGGGCCGCAGCAGUGGGGAAUAUUGCACAAUGGAGGAAACUCUGAUGCAGCAACGCCGCGUGGAGGAUGACAUUUUUCGGAGCGUAAACUCCUUUUAUAUAGGAAGAAGAUGACGGUACUAUAUGAAUAAGCGCCGGCUAACUCCGUGCCAGCAGCCGCGGUAAUACGGAGGGCGCAAGCGUUACUCGGAAUCACUGGGCGUAAAGAGCGUGUAGGCGGAUUAAAAAGUCAGAAGUGAAAUCCUAUAGCUUAACUAUAGAACUGCUUCUGAAACUCUUAAUCUAGAAUAUGGGAGAGGUAGAUGGAAUUUCUGGUGUAGGGGUAAUAUCCGUAGAGAUCAGAAGGAAUACCGAUUGCGAAGGCGAUCUACUAGAACAUUAUUGACGCUGAGACGCGAAAGCGUGGGGAGCAAACAGGAUUAGAUACCCCCGUAGUC